Podarcis lilfordi (Lilford's wall lizard) is the source of this 82-nucleotide non-coding RNA. Lineage: Eukaryota; Metazoa; Chordata; Lepidosauria; Squamata; Lacertidae. The record is from the annotation of a GenBank genome assembly.
GCAAGGAUAGGCACAGGAGCCAUGGUUGGGAGAGGCGCUGCGCUGUACCUCUCCCAACCGUGGCUCCUAUGCCUGCUCUUGC